This 253-nucleotide ribosomal RNA is filed under the name uncultured bacterium. RNAcentral's name for it is "partial 16S ribosomal RNA". It matches the Rfam family "Bacterial small subunit ribosomal RNA", at positions 524 to 776 of the family's 1533-position model. The record is from RNAcentral.
UACAGAGGUCUCAAGCGUUGUUCGGAUUCAUUGGGCGUAAAGGGCGCGUAGGCGGCUUGGUAAGUCGGGUGUGAAAUCUCGGGGCUUAACUCCGAAACUGCAUUCGAUACUGCCGUGCUUGAGGACUGGAGAGGAGACUGGAAUUUACGGUGUAGCGGUGAAAUGCGUAGAUAUCGUAAGGAAGACCAGUGGCGAAGGCGGGUCUCUGGACAGUUCCUGACGCUGAGGCGCGAAAGCCAGGGGAGCAAACAGG